RNAcentral lists this ribosomal RNA (497 nucleotides) under uncultured bacterium. RNAcentral's name for it is "partial 16S ribosomal RNA". It matches the Rfam family "Bacterial small subunit ribosomal RNA", at positions 28 to 507 of the family's 1533-position model. The record is from RNAcentral.
GAUGAACGCUGGCGGCGUGCCUAAUACAUGCAAGUCGAGCGAACAGACGAGGAGCUUGCUCCUCUGACGUUAGCGGCGGACGGGGGAGUAACACGUGGAUAACCUACCUAUAAGUCUGGGAUAAAUUCGGGAAACCGGAGCUAAUACCGGAUAAUAUAUUGAACCGCAUGGUUCAAUAGUGAAAGACGGUUUUGCUGUCACUUAUAGAUGGAUCCGCGCCGCAUUAGCUAGUUGGUAAGGUAACGGCUUACCAAGGCAACGAUGCGUAGCCGACCUGAGAGGGUGAUCGGCCACACUGGAACUGGGACACGGUCCAGACUCCUACGGGAGGCAGCAGUAGGGAAUCUUCCGCAAUGGGCGAAAGCUUGACGGAGCAACGCCGCGUGAGUGAUGAAGGUCUUCGGAUCGUAAAACUCUGUUAUUAGGGAAGAACAAAUGUGUAAGUAACUAUGCACGUCUUGACGGUACCUAAUCAGAAAGCCACGGCUAACUACGUG